CGGAUAAAAGCUACCCUGGGGAUAACAGGCUUAUCUCCCCCAAGAGUCCACAUCGACGGGGAGGUUUGGCACCUCGAUGUCGGCUCAUCACAUCCUGGGGCUGUAGUAGGUCCCAAGGGUUGGGCUGUUCGCCCAUUAAAGUGGUACGCGAGCUGGGUUCAGAACGUCGUGAGACAGUUCGGUCCCUAUCCGUCGCAGGCGUAGGAAAUUUGAGAAGACCUGUCCUUAGUACGAGAGGACCGGGAUGGACGUACCUCUGGUGUACCAGUUGUUCUGCCAAGGGCAUGGCUGGGUAGCUAUGUACGGAAUGGAUAAGCGCUGAAAGCAUCUAAGCGCGAAGCCAACUUCAAGAUAAGAUUUCCCACCGCAAGGGUAAGACCCCAGAAAGACUAUCUGGUUGAUAGGUCGAAGGUGUAAGUGCAGCAAUGUAUUUAGCUUAUCGAUACUAAUAGGUCGAGGACUUGACCAAAUU
Molecule: ribosomal RNA, 472 nt
Filed under: Clostridioides difficile
Lineage: Bacteria; Bacillati; Bacillota; Clostridia; Peptostreptococcales; Peptostreptococcaceae
Description: partial 23S ribosomal RNA
Rfam family: Bacterial large subunit ribosomal RNA
Source: RNAcentral